Molecule: ribosomal RNA, 697 nt
Filed under: uncultured Burkholderia sp.
Lineage: Bacteria; Pseudomonadati; Pseudomonadota; Betaproteobacteria; Burkholderiales; Burkholderiaceae
Description: bacterial SSU rRNA
Rfam family: Bacterial small subunit ribosomal RNA
Source: RNAcentral
GGUUGUAAAGCUCUUUCGGCGGGGACGAAACGGUCCGUGUUAACACCACGGAUCAAUGACGGUACUCGCAGAAGAAGCACCGGCUAACUACGUGCCAGCAGCCGCGGUAAUACGUAGGGUGCAGGCGUUAAUCGGAAUUACUGGGCGUAAAGCGUGCGCAGGCGGCCUCUUAAGUCAGAUGUGAAAUCCCCGGGCUUAACCUGGGAACUGCGUUUGAAACUGGGAGGCUAGAGUGUGGAAGAGGGGGGUGGAAUUCCAGGUGUAGCAGUGAAAUGCGUAGAGAUCUGGAGGAACACCGAUGGCGAAGGCAGCCCCCUGGGCUGACACUGACGCUCAUGCACGAAAGCGUGGGGAGCAAACAGGAUUAGAUACCCUGGUAGUCCACGCCCUAAACGAUGUCAACUGGUUGUCGGGGAAGUUAUUCCUUGGUAACGAAGCUAACGCGUGAAGUUGACCGCCUGGGGAGUACGGCCGCAAGGUUAAAACUCAAAGGAAUUGACGGGGACCCGCACAAGCGGUGGAUUAUGUGGAUUAAUUCGAUGCAACGCGAAAAACCUUACCUACCCUUGACUUGUACGGAACCCCGCAGAGAUGCGGGGGUGCCCGAAAGGGAGCCGUAACACAGGUGCUGCGUGGCUGUCGUCAGCUCGUGUCGUGAGAUGUUGGGUUAAGUCCCGCAACGAGCGCAACCCUUGUC